UUGAACUGAAGAGUUUGAUCAUGGCUCAGAUUGAACGCUGGCGGCAGGCCUAACACAUGCAAGUCGAGCGGAAACGAUGGGAGCUUGCUCCCAGGCGUCGAGCGGCGGACGGGUGAGUAACACGUGGGAAUCUGCCCAUUAGUGGGGGAUAACUCGGGGAAACUCGAGCUAAUA
RNAcentral lists this ribosomal RNA (174 nucleotides) under Alcanivorax sp. KX64203. RNAcentral's name for it is "partial 16S ribosomal RNA". It matches the Rfam family "Bacterial small subunit ribosomal RNA", at positions 1 to 168 of the family's 1533-position model. The record is from RNAcentral. Lineage: Bacteria; Pseudomonadati; Pseudomonadota; Gammaproteobacteria; Oceanospirillales; Alcanivoracaceae.